UGGGGAAUAUUGUGCAAUGGGGGAAACCCUGACACAGCGACGCCGCGUGAGUGAAGAAGGUCUUCGGAUCGUAAAACUCUGUCAUCGGGGACGAAGAUGACGGUACCCGAAGAACAAGCCACGGCUAACUACGUGCCAGCAGCCGCGGUAAUACGUAGGGGGCGAGCGUUGUCCGGAAUUACUGGGCGUAAAGGGCGUGUAGGCGGCCUGUUAAGUCAGGGGUGAAAGACCGGGGCUCAACCCCGGGGGUGCCUCUGAAACUGGCGGGCUUGAGUGCUCUAGAGGGCAGUGGAAUUCCCGGUGUAGCAGUGAAAGGCGUAGAGAUCGGGAGGAACACCAGUGGCGAAGGCGGCUGCCUGGGGAGUCACUGACGCUGAGGCGCGAAAGCUAGGGGAGCAAACAGG
RNAcentral lists this ribosomal RNA (404 nucleotides) under Bacillota bacterium. RNAcentral describes it as "Firmicutes bacterium partial 16S ribosomal RNA". It matches the Rfam family "Bacterial small subunit ribosomal RNA", at positions 355 to 776 of the family's 1533-position model. Lineage: Bacteria; Bacillati; Bacillota. The record is from RNAcentral.